Molecule: long non-coding RNA, 611 nt
Organism: Dermacentor silvarum
Lineage: Eukaryota; Metazoa; Arthropoda; Arachnida; Ixodida; Ixodidae
Exons: 6
Source: RefSeq, a predicted model, not a curated record
AGUAUAUUCGACUGCGGUUUAAUUCAGCCAUUGCCUUGGUCGCAUGUGGAAUCUACCUUUUCUUCUCGCUAAGUACAGGUGCACUAACCAUCUUCGCAGCCAGCUUGACGACUCUCACAAUUUUCGGAACACCUCUUCUGUGGUGUAAUAUAGCAAUUGGACUGGGUGGAACACUUUACACUGCACUUGGUGGACUCAGGGGCGUUGUCUGGACAGACUGCAUGCAGCUAAUCUUCAUUCUUCUGGGACCGACAACUGUCAUUGCUAAUGUCAUCGCUGGCUCAAAAAGUUCUAUUGGCGCUCAACAAGCGCUGCAUGAGCUCGACGUGCGCAGAUACAUAGCCAAUGUGAAAUUUGACAUAAGUCACGACGAGAAUGUCUGGUCAUCUUUGCUGGCGUCCACAACUCUUUCUCUUUACCGAGUCGGCUUAGACCAAGUGACUGUUCAAAGGUGUAUGGCUUCCCGUAACCUUAGCGAUGCGAGAAGAACAUUGUUCAUGGGGUCAUUCAUGCUUUUCACCGUUUACGUCGUCAACUUAUGUCUGGCUUUGGCCUUGGUAGUGUGGUUCUGGGGAUGUGACCCGAAGCUCGCCGGUGCAAUCAAUAGUCAU